Molecule: non-coding RNA, 26 nt
Filed under: Homo sapiens (human)
Lineage: Eukaryota; Metazoa; Chordata; Mammalia; Primates; Hominidae
Source: RNAcentral
UGUCUCAGAGGUGUUAAGGCUCAAGG